UAGGAUGAAAGCCGAGGAAGGGCAGGUCUGAUGAGAUGGAGAGAGGCCAGCUUCCCCUCCUCUGGGCAGGGGAAGCUCCAGGGGUUGGGGUGUUUGCACACUGACGGCUGUGACCCAGGAGAGGGGGAAAGUGGCCAGAGAUGGGCACCAAGGGAGAGUUGCCAGAGCCGUAGUCUCUAGCAGGUCAUGCAGAUGCAAGCCAGGCUGCCAGGGCAGGACACAGCUCUCCAGGGCACCUGAUAACCAAAGGGUCAAGUUUAUCAUCAGUCAUUGCAAGUUGCCACCCACCCACCACCACCACCACCACCACCGACUGGAGGAAUCAGACUUGGUUCCU
Long non-coding RNA from Onychomys torridus (southern grasshopper mouse), 337 nucleotides. RefSeq lists it as uncharacterized. NCBI's taxonomy places the organism in Eukaryota, Metazoa, Chordata, Mammalia, Rodentia, Cricetidae. The transcript has 3 exons. The record is from RefSeq and is a predicted model, not a curated record.